This 445-nucleotide ribosomal RNA is filed under the name uncultured bacterium. Its description in RNAcentral is "partial 16S ribosomal RNA". It matches the Rfam family "Bacterial small subunit ribosomal RNA", at positions 354 to 796 of the family's 1533-position model. The record is from RNAcentral.
GUGAGGAAUAUUGGUCAAUGGGCGCAAGCCUGAACCAGCCAUGCCGCGUGCAGGAAGACGGUCCUAUGGAUUGUAAACUGCUUUUAUUUGGGAAUAAACUCCGGUACGUGUACCGGCCUGAAGGUACCAAAUGAAUAAGCACCGGCUAACUCCGUGCCAGCAGCCGCGGUAAUACGGAGGGUGCAAGCGUUAUCCGGAAUCAUUGGGUUUAAAGGGUCCGCAGGCGGUCUUAUAAGUCAGUGGUGAAAGCCUACAGCUCAACUGUAGAACUGCCAUUGAUACUGUAGGACUUGAAUUCGAUCGAAGUGGGCGGAAUGUGACAUGUAGCGGUGAAAUGCUUAGAUAUGACAUAGAACACCUAUUGCGAAGGCAGCUUACUACGCAUAUAUUGACGCUGAGGCACGAAAGCGUGGGGAUCAAACAGGAUUAGAUACCCUAGUAGUCC